UACGGGGGGAGCAAGCGUUGUUCGGAUUUACUGGGCGUAAAGGGCGCGUAGUCGGUCAGCACAAGCCCGUUGUGAAAUCUCCGGGCUUAACUCGGAAAGGUCAACUGAUACUGUGCGACUAGAGUGCAGAAGGGGCAACUGGAAUUCUCGGUGUAGCGGUGAAAUGCGUAGAUAUCGAGAGGAACACCUGCGGCGAAGGCGGGUUGCUGGGCUGACACUGACGCUGAGGCGCGAAAGCCAGGGGAGCGAACGGG
RNAcentral lists this ribosomal RNA (254 nucleotides) under uncultured bacterium. RNAcentral's name for it is "partial 16S ribosomal RNA". It matches the Rfam family "Bacterial small subunit ribosomal RNA", at positions 524 to 776 of the family's 1533-position model. The record is from RNAcentral.